Molecule: long non-coding RNA, 2644 nt
Filed under: Sus scrofa (pig)
Lineage: Eukaryota; Metazoa; Chordata; Mammalia; Artiodactyla; Suidae
Description: lncRNA (ENSSSCG00045017654.1)
Source: RNAcentral
GGGAUGAUGGGGCCCCAGGCCCAUACUCUGGAGUUCCUGUUGUAGUACAGUGGAAAUGAAUCCAACUAGUAUCCAUGAGGAUGAUGGGGUUUUUUUGUUUUGUGUGUGUGUGUUUUGUUUCGUUUUUUGUUUUUUGCCUUUUCUAGGGCCGCUCCUGAGGCAUGUGGAGGUUCCCAGGCUAGGGGUCUAAUCGGAGCUGUAGCCGCUGGCAUACGCCACAGCCACAGCAACACCAGAUCUGAGCCGCAUCUGUGACCUACACCACAGCUCACGGCAAAGCGGGAUCCUUAACCCACUGAGAGAGGCCAGGGAUCGAACCCGCAACCUCAUGGUUCCUAGUCAGAUUCGUUAACCGCUGAGCCACAAUGGGAACUCCCAAAGAUGAGGUUUUGAUCCCUGGCCUCGCUCAGUGGGUUAAGGAUCCCGCUUUGCCGUGAGCUGUGGUGUAGGUGGCAGACACAGCUUGAAACCCGAGUCUCUGUGGCUGUGACCUAGGCCAAAGGCUGGCAGCUGCAGCUCCAAUUCGCCCCCUAGCCUGGGAACUUCCAUAUGCCUCAAGUACGGCCCUAAAAAGAAGAAAAAAAACCAGCCCAGGCCCCAUCAUGCCUCAUGUGCAUGUAAUUCCUUCAUACUUUGACUUGUCUCUGUGGCAGGUUCAUGCCCUACAGGUGAGGCCAUGCCUCAAGAAGUGGAUUCAAGGAGGGAGAAGUUGGGAAGAAUCCUGCAAGCAAGAGCACCCUCCCCACCUCCCCUGUUCUCUCCCUAUGCCUAUCCUUCCACCCCAUCCAUCAGAUGGGUAGAGGGGUCUCCCCAGGAUGAAUGUGGAGGGACGGCAGGGCCAGCAGGAGAGGUCCCUGGGCAGAGCUGGCCCCUGGUUGGAGCCCAGCAUCUCCAAACUGUAGCCCAGAGAAGGAGGCACAUCAGGACCCAGGAAGAACCCCUCAGAGCUGGAGUUGACUUGACCAACUUUCCCUGAGAUGAGAUGGACUCCGGAGAGGAUGGUGAGAUGGGAGGUCAGAGGGGCCUGCAGGGGGCAUCUUUUUUUCAUCAUGGAUAGGCACACAGAACCAGGACCGGAGGCAGUGGAAGGGCCUCGGGUCACUGCCUGUCACUGACCUGAAGGACAGGCCAACUCAGAUCUCCCUGGAAGCUGGCUCUCCUGUUCUGACUGGAGACUGAGACCCCAACUAGGAUGUGAGCAGGGACAUUCUGGCCAGGAACACUGGGGAGCAGACUGUGAGAGGUACUUGUCAUCUCAGCCUUAUCUGGACACAUUUGUGUUCCUUCCCAGCAGGCACCCCAUUCCCAGGCACUGGUUGUUCUCCCCCAGGGCCUGCUAGGAUGACCCCCAAUGCACUAGCCAGGCAUCCACCCAUCCCACCUUCCAGGGACACAGGGGUCGGGUCCCCACACCUCAACAGGUGAAGCCCAUUCUUCACCAGCUGCCAGCACGGAGCCAGCCUCCUUCCCGGGAAACCAUCUGCUCAGCUCAGGUUGCCUGAAAUGGGUACCAGCAUCUGAACAAACAGUCCUGAGUGAGGCGGGGCUGGGGGUGGUGUUGCAAGAGGUAGGGCCCCUGCCCCUAGCCCUGCUCUGGAGGGAAUUCGCACGAGUUCUCACAGCUGCCGCUGUCCCAGUCCUGCCUGAUGACUGCAUAGACUUCCCACUCCUCAGCCCCAUGGCUGCCACUGCCUGCCCACUGGAGCUCUCCCCGGCCCUCCCCAGGCCACCCGUCUUCUUGUCCUGGCACAUGAGUGGCCUCUGCUUCCCUCCAGGAAGAGUCCUCCCAUGGCUCCCAUCCCUGUCACCACACCAGUCAAGCUGGGCUGUCCUUCUCAGUGUCCACCACUGCCCUAAUGCCAAGGGCAGGCUGGCACACAGUGGGUAAUCAGAAAGCAUUGCUGCCUGUGGCCGUGACUGUGGAGUGAGUGCUCCCAGGGAUGUGGCCUGUUUAGUUUGGACCAGCUGUUCUUCCUGCUCCUCAGUCGACGUGAAGGCCUGACCCAGACUUAGAGCUGGGCAGGCUCCUGCCUGGGGGCUGCCCAUGUAAGACCCAUACUCAGGCCAGCUGACUCUGCCCCUGCCCACUUGGGGAAAGAAGGGACUGGCACGGCCCCUCCCCCAUACCCCUCUGCUGGCAUUGGCAUUCAGAGGAGGGGUGGGGGGGGCCCUGCCACCCGGGAGGAACAGCCUCUCUGGGCCUCAGAGCUCUCAUCUGGGAAAUGGUGCCCCAUCUAUGGGGUGCAGGGUUGCUGUGGACCUAGGAUCUGGGCACUCUGUGCCUGGCACCCCUCAGAAGGCUUUGGACCCUACCUUGCCUGCUGCCUAGGGGUCGGGGCAGGGAGCAAGUGACCUUCGUGCAUCUUUUUCCACGAGAGACUGUCAGCGAUCUCUGUCUCUAGGUGGGGGACUUCCAGACAGCACAGAGGCGGGACCUGUGGGGUCCUGGGUACCCGUAGGACGGCACAGGGCUCCCCAAGGACCCGUGGGUACACAGGGGUCCCUAGCAAGCCUGAUGGCCUAUUUGCUAUGUGAUCUCAGGCCGGGGUUGGGGAGGAGUGUGAGGUGUGGCCCCUCCUGCUGGGUACUCCAAAAAGCAGUAAGUGCCUCCCCCAAGGUUCAUUUUCCAUUUCCUGUAGGUCGG